UCUCCGUUGGUGAACCAGCGGAGGGAUCAUUACUGGAAUCGCAAGAUCCCACAACCCCUGUGAACCUACCGAAACGUUGCCUCGGCGGGCGCCCGGCCCUGCGCCGGGCGCUGAGCCCGCCGGCGGCCCCCUACUCUUGUCUCUGCAGCGUGGCAUCUCCGAGUCCCAGAAAACAAGUAAAAACUUUCAACAACGGAUCUCUUGGCUCUA
This 210-nucleotide unclassified non-coding RNA is filed under the name plant metagenome. RNAcentral describes it as "partial contains small subunit ribosomal RNA, internal transcribed spacer 1, and 5.8S ribosomal RNA". The record is from RNAcentral.